Molecule: ribosomal RNA, 475 nt
Filed under: uncultured bacterium
Lineage: Bacteria
Description: bacterial SSU rRNA
Rfam family: Bacterial small subunit ribosomal RNA
Source: RNAcentral
GGGGGCCCGCAAGCGGUGGAGCAUGUGGUUUAAUUCGAAGCAACGCGAAGAACCUUACCAGGUCUUGACAUCCCGCUGACCGCCUUGGAGACAAGGCUUUCCCUUCGGGGACAGCGGUGACAGGUGGUGCAUGGUUGUCGUCAGCUCGUGUCGUGAGAUGUUGGGUUAAGUCCCGCAACGAGCGCAACCCUUGAUCUUAGUUGCCAGCAUUCAGUUGGGCACUCUAAGGUGACUGCCGGUGACAAACCGGAGGAAGGUGGGGAUGACGUCAAAUCAUCAUGCCCCUUAUGACCUGGGCUACACACGUGCUACAAUGGACGGUACAAAGGGUUGCCAACCCGCGAGGGGGAGCCAAUCCCAGAAAACCGUUCUCAGUUCGGAUUGCAGGCUGCAACUCGCCUGCAUGAAGCCGGAAUCGCUAGUAAUCGUGGAUCAGCAUGCCACGGUGAAUACGUUCCCGGGCCUUGUACACACC